This 460-nucleotide ribosomal RNA is filed under the name uncultured bacterium. RNAcentral's name for it is "partial 16S ribosomal RNA". It matches the Rfam family "Bacterial small subunit ribosomal RNA", at positions 338 to 795 of the family's 1533-position model. The record is from RNAcentral.
CCUACGGGAGGCAGCAGUGAGGAAUAUUGGUCAAUGGACGAGAGUCUGAACCAGCCAAGUAGCGUGAAGGAUGACUGCCCUAUGGGUUGUAAACUUCUUUUAUAAAGGAAUAAAACGAGGCACGUGUGCCUUUUUGCAUGUACUUUAUGAAUAAGGAUCGGCUAACUCCGUGCCAGCAGCCGCGGUAAUACGGAGGAUACGAGCGUUAUCCGGAUUUAUUGGGUUUAAAGGGAGCAUGGAUGGGUUGUUAAGUCAGUUGUGAAAGUUUGCGGCUCAACCGUAAAAUUGCAAUUGAUACUGGCAGUCUUGAGUACAGUUGAGGUAGGCGGAAUUCGUGGUGUAGCGGUGAAAUGCUUAGAUAUCACGAAGAACCCCGAUUGCGAAGGCAGCUUACUAAACUGUGACUGACAUUGAGGCUCGAAAGUGUGGGUAGCAAACAGGAUUAGAUACCCCAGUAGUC